AAGUCGUAACAAGGUCUCCGUAGGUGAACCUGCGGAGGGAUCAUUAACAAAGCAAGGUGUUCAGGAAAGAGGCGACUGCGUAGCAGGAGCGUCUUUUCUGAAUUCCCAAAAUCAUGUUGCCACCGAUGGUUGGAUUUCAAUUGUUGGUGGCACACAUACAUUUACAUUUCAACAACAACCACUACAACGAUAAACAAACAACAACUUUUAACAAUGGAUCUCUUGGCUCUU
This 231-nucleotide unclassified non-coding RNA is filed under the name fungal sp. Its description in RNAcentral is "partial internal transcribed spacer region". The stretch from base 1 to 46 matches the Rfam family "Eukaryotic small subunit ribosomal RNA", at positions 1786 to 1831 of the family's 1831-position model. The record is from RNAcentral. Lineage: Eukaryota; Fungi.